AGUGAACGCUGGCGGUAGGCCUAACACAUGCAAGUCGAACGGCAGCACAGUAAGAGCUUGCUCUUACGGGUGGCGAGUGGCGGACGGGUGAGGAAUACAUCGGAAUCUACUUUUUCGUGGGGGAUAACGUAGGGAAACUUACGCUAAUACCGCAUACGACCUACGGGUGAAAGCAGGGGAUCUUCGGACCUUGCGCGAUUGAAUGAGCCGAUGUCGGAUUAGCUAGUUGGCGGGGUACAGGCCCACCAAGGCGACGAUCCGUAGCUGGUCUGAGAGGAUGAUCAGCCACACUGGAACUGAGACACGGUCCAGACUCCUACGGGAGGCAGCAGUGGGGAAUAUUAGGAAAUGGGCGCAAGCCUGAUCCAGCCAUACCGCGUGGGUGAAGAAGGCCUUCGGGUUGUAAAGCCCUUUUGUUGGGAAAGAAAAGCAGCAGGUUAAUACCCCGCUGUUCUGACGGUACCCAAAGAAUAAGCACCGGCUAACUUCGUG
RNAcentral lists this ribosomal RNA (492 nucleotides) under uncultured bacterium. RNAcentral's name for it is "partial 16S ribosomal RNA". It matches the Rfam family "Bacterial small subunit ribosomal RNA", at positions 29 to 507 of the family's 1533-position model. The record is from RNAcentral.